AUUUUCUGGGAAAGUAUACAGGUUUUUACGGCGAGGGGAUAUAAUUGUUUUAAUGAACUGUUUUGGAAAACUAAUUUGUUUUACUGACCCACUCAUUUUGUUUUGCGCCCCUCCAGGUUCUAGUUUAGCGGUGGUUGGCUCACGAGGUCCUUUUCCGGCUUUCUGACAGACCUUGGACAUGUAGGACUCACCUGAGGGUGAUGUAUUCUUAUUUUAGUCCUACUUGACUGCAGUUACCUAUGCUCUGAACUUAUGUGUUUGUAGUAUAACUCGUCCGGUUAUGUUCGUAGGUGGAUAUGUUUAAGUUGGUUUGAAUUUCAGCUGAUUUAUGUUCUUGUUUUGCUUCCGUGUCGCACCUUUGGUUACGUCACUCCCACGUGACGGCCAGCACACCUGGAUCCCCUGGAUCGGGGUGUGUCAGUUUUAAUAUUGUAUGUAAUUUGUUGUGAGACAUCACGCGAUGAGGCCCUUCAGUUUAAGAGGUUUUGCAAAACCUUUAGCAUAGAACAAAAAAAUGACCAGCCAAUGUUGGAGAUGAUUUGUUGGAACUAAAUAGACUAUAAAAUAGGUAAAGGUAGUAUGUUAGUGUGUGCAACUGCUUUUUACAAAAGGACAUUUAACGAAAAACUUAUGAUAUUGUUCACUUUAACGAAAAACCACAUUUUUACACUAAAAAGUCAAUUUUGGUACUAUUCAUUUUAUCCUUUAUUUUGUCCUUAUCGUUAAAACUCAAAAUUUUCAAGUCUUUUUUCAUUAGUUUUCAUUUUUACAAAAUAGGCGAUGGAUAGAGAGAAUGAGAGCCUACGAACCCUAAUGAGAUUGACCACUGAUUUGAUUGAUGGCUAAGAAUUAACAUCUCUUUUUUCUGUGACUUGAAGCACAAAUAGGUUUGAAACAAUAACAAAUUAAGAAAGCUCUUGAUAUUGGUGAUCUUAUAACUGGUAUAGGAUUAAAUCAAGAUAUUAGUCUCACGCGUCCUUGUGAUACACAGUGGAACUCACAUUAUGGUACUAUAGUUAGUGUUAUUGUUAUGUUUUAAGCCAUGGUGGAGGUGCUUGAAUGGAUUAAAGAUGAUGGCAACCAAGAUAAUUUCAGUGAAGCAAGUUCUUCCACGACAUACAAACUCUUGAUUUUGUGUUUCACCUUUUUUUUAUGAGACUUAUAUUGGGAAUUACAAAUGAGUUAUCACAAGCAUUACCAAAGAAAAUCAAGAUAUUGUGAAUGUGAUGACGUUAGUGGAAGUAUGCAAGCAAAGACUACAAUCCUUGAGAGAUGAUGACUUUGGGGACUUGCUUGAUGAUGUAUAAAAGUUUAGUGAGGAGCAUGAGAUUAUCGUUCCUAACAUGGAGGAUUUGCAUUUCUUACCCGAAAAAUCAAAGUGUAAAGCUCCAAGACUCACAAACUUCUUUACUAUCGUGUGAACCUCUAUUUUCAAGUUCUUGAUAUGCAACUAAAGGAAUUGAAUGAUCGCUUUAAUGAGGUAAACACCGAGUUGCUUCUUUGUAUGGCAUGUUUGAGUCCGGUAAAUAAUUUUGCAUCUUUUGACAAAGCAAAAAUUGUUUAUUUAGCCCAACUUUAUCCUCAAGAUUUUGAUCGUAUGGAACUCAUGAAUCUUCCAAUUCAACUUGAAAAUUACAUUCAUGAUAUGAAGAUGCAUAGUGAGUUUUCAUCAUUGAGAGGAAUUAGUAAUCUUGCAAAUGAGUUAGUGAAGACCAGGAGGCGUGUAAGCUAUAUGUUAGUGUAUAAGCUUCUUACAUUGGUUUUGGUGUUACCGGUUGCAACAGCUUCGGUGGAGAGAGCUUUCUGUUAUGAAGAUUGUGAAAACACCAUUGCAUAACAAAAUGGGAGAUCAAUGGUUGAGUGAUAGCGUGUUUGUUUACAUUGAGUGAGAUGUAUCUGCUUUUAUUGAUAAUGAGUCUGUUAUGCGAUGUUUUCAUGACAUGAAACCUCGCCGGCAACAAUUGUAAUUUGUUUGUAUUGAUAAAAGGAUUUGGUUGUUGUCACAUUCUUUUGAACCUUGCACUCUUUUAAGUUCGCCCUUCCCCCCAACAAUUCCCGGCAAUGGUCAUGGCAUCUGGUUGCAUCAAAAGUAUCUUACAUGUGAACCCUAUAUGGCAUCUAGAUGGAUUUAAAUGGACUAGGAUUCUCUCCCCUCAUCUUUCCAUCCCAUUCCAUCUCCUCCUCUCACACUCUUUAUUUUGUCUUUCUCUUUCUAUAAAAAAUUAAUAUAAGAUACUGACGUGGCUUAACCGUGACCGUUCAAAUAGGAAGGGAGGGAAUGAGGGAAAAAAGAGAGGAGAGAAUCCUUCUCCGAUUUAAACAAGUAAGAACCCAUUAAGCUCUAUGGAAGUCAUUGGAAAUCACACAAACCCUAAUUGCAUGACAUCUACAAAUAAGUGUUUAUGGUAUCAAUUGCAAGAAGCUAAACCCAAGUAUGGCAUCUACUCUAACUUGCAUCAAAUCAACUUAACUAAAACUUAGAUGGUGAUCAAGCAUCUAAAUAAAAAUCAAGCGCAUUACGAAUAGCAAAAGAUAAAAUAAAACUCCAAAGUAAAACCCUAGCAAAGAAAAACUCCAAAGUAGCUCUCCUCUUUGCCGCAACCAAAUGCCCCCAAACUAAUUUUGCUUGUCCUCGAGCAAACCAAAAUAAAACGCAAAACUCAAAAGAAACAAAUAGUAGCUAACUUCCCAAAUUAACAUAUUUUUCAUAUAUGUUAGCUUGGUUUACUGCGUCAAUUAGUGCUUAUAUCUUUUGGUAAACUUUCAUAACGAAUCAUAUUGAGUCAUAAUUUUUUUUUUUAACAUGUAUCAAUGACAUAACCCGCUGCAGAACCAAACUGUAGCACACAAUUCAUCACUGCUAUGACAGCUAAGACAUUCCAAAUCACACAAGUUUACAUACAUUGGGAUAAAACCCACAGUUAUUCAUUGUUAAAUAUAAUUACAAUAAGUUGAUUUUUGUUGGAUGCAACCAUCCAACUACUAUGAUCCUUCAGCGCCCAAUGUUGGAUUUUCUAAGGCGAAGAAACUCCAUACUCAAAAUCGUGGGCAUCGGCUGGAGAGAGAUUGUCUUCGCGUCUUGGGUUGAAGUGCGAGACCUUGAAGAAUAUGAGAACUGGAUCAUCUGGGUCCUCUUCUUCUUAUUAUUCUUUCUUCAAAUGCUUGUAACUCUUAUGGUUAGAGAGAAGCAGAGAAAGGAAAGAGAGAGGGAAAGAGGGGGCGACGAGAGACGGGGGAGAGGAGAAAGUGGGUGAAUCAAAGAAAAAAAGUAAUAGGUGAGGGAGAGAGAGAGGGGAGAGGAGAGAGUGGGGUGGGUGAAAAAGAGUAAUCUUUCUUUAUACCCAAAAGGAGAAAAAAGAUAAAAAAAGAAAAGAAAAAGUGCUGACUAGGCUAUGGGAAAGAAGUUACCGACAUCUCUCUUCCCUCCUCGGUUAUAAAUAGGGGGGUAUUUCAAAAAAAAAAAAAAACAGUAGUAGGAACUCUUGCCCACGCAACGAGGUAUUCCAACCGAGUGCUCGACUGACUUGUCUGUAAGUCUCUGGUUUUUGUUAGUGCGAUGAUGUCCCCAACAACAUUCUGGAUAAACAAUCCUUCACGCCUGCAAAUUGAGAGUCCAAAUUAUUCAAACAGAUGAUUCAUCAUAUCAUGCAACACCAAGAUUCAUAUGAACUAAACUAAUUCAUCAUAUAUGUUCAAUUAAGAAUUAUUUAGACGACCCUUAAGCUGACAUGACCAGACUGGUGGAUAACCCACUGGGAAUUUAUACAGAAAACGAGCCCUAUUACUUGCAACAACAUAAGGUUCCUGUGAGUAGAAGCUCUUCUUUGAUCAAUCAUCCAUGGCUUCCUCAGUUUUUUUUAUCAAUCGUCCAUGUGAUUAUUGAUCUGCUAAUGAAUUAGGCUUUGCUAUAUUUGUUCCAACAUCUGGUAUCAGAGCCAAUAAUAUUGGCUUCUCAUUAAUCCGUCAAGGCUGAUGCUUAUGUAAUUACUAAUCAUUAUUUUCUUCUUCUAAUUACUAAUUAUUAUAUUCUUCUUCUAAUCAUUAAUCUGAUUAUACAAGAUGUUCCAAGCGAUUAAAUUUUGUAAAAGAGGAAAUUUGAAUUUAUACCCGUCCGCCGUGGUUUUAAGAUUCCGGCCACACAAAUCUGCACAAGCCUUAAGGUCCCUUCUCCACUGCUCCACCUCAUCUGGAUCUUCAUCCCUUUCAUGCUUCCGAAAUGCUUCCCCAAAACUACCGCUCUGUUUCCUCACUUGAGAAGGGUCAACGUCGUAGAAUAUUGGAUAGACUACUUUCCCCUCUUGGUCUUCGCGGCACCUCAUGAUCUUCGACAGCUCGCUCAGGCAACAUCCGGCCUCCGCAUACCUCUUUGAGAAGACGACGACGGCGAUCCUCGACCCUUCGAUUUCUCCGUCAAGUUCGCUCGGUGUAUUUUCCUCCCUUCUGAGCUGGUAGUCUACAAACGUGUUAAUUCCGGCGUCGCGUAACGCAAUGGAGAGGUGGUCUGUGAAGGUAGUGCGUGUGUCGUCGCCUAAGCUGAGGAACACCUCGUACUUCCAGUGGUUUGAACGCCGAGACGAAGCGGCGGCGGCGGCGGCGGUUGCAUGGGCGGAUCUGCUGGUAUUCAUUGAUUUCAAGUAAAGAAGAGAAAAACUCCUGAUUGUUUCAGUCUAAAGAAAACAAGUAUUUCCCAAGAUUCCCAGUGAAACUCCUGAUUAUUUUUUGAAUAGCUGGAAGAUGUGAGAGCAAAGCAAAUUCAGGACCGCAGCUCUUUGUCUCGAUCUCGAUCUCGGUCAGAAUUGGCGGUGGAAAGAAGACGGAGAAAAAAAAGAUAAUUGGGGAGACGAAGAAAGAAGAGGGAGAGACAAUGCAAAAGCUGCGGCUGACAAGAAAAGAAGAAAGAAGGGAGAAGUUGUCUGCCCUCCACUUCGGUGUUCUUCCGUGCCAUUCUAUUUUGUGUGGUCACGUUUAAGACACGUCAACAUUUUAUAUUAUUUUUUUAUAGAUAUAAUAAGACAAAAAUGAAUAUUAAUAUAAAAUUUUAACAUGGCUUAACCGUGACCACACAAACAAAGGAUACGGGGAUGGCACCGAAAGUGGAGAGCAGACAAUUCUUGUCUAAAAAGAAUAUGCUAGCUAGGGUUUGUAGUAGAAGAGAUUUUUCAGUAUGUCCGGUAUAUUAGUUGGUAUAUUAGUUGGUAUAUUACGUAUCAUUAUAUAAAUGAUGAGAUAUGUGUUUUAAAAUGUUAAUAAAUUUUUUUAUCAUUUCUACACGUAAGGUAUCACUUGUAUUCUCACUUGUAUUCUUGUCGUAAUUAAAAAUUUCUAGUAUGAAGGCUUUUCUCAACGUGUGCUUCAAGUUUAGCUUUUUGUUAUAAAAUAUGUGAAUGCCCCAUACAGGCACUACACUUUGCUUCUUUGGCAUGCUUUGGUUUUUUGGCUUAUUCUUCUAAAGCAUGAUUCCUUUGGUUGAAAUGUUUGGUGUGGAAAUUAGGCUCCACUAAGAAAAUGUCAUUCCACUAGCUGCCAUUGAUUGCUCCUACUUUUCCCAUAAAUACAAGGCACACGGAAAGGAACAGGUGAUACACGGCAGAAAGAGAGAGGAAGAAGAAGAGGAAGAAGAGAUGGCAGAAUAGAAAUAGUUAUUUUUGUACACAUAUUAUUCUAGAUUAUAAAUGAAAGCAUCAGUGUUGUUCCGAUAACGUACUUCAGUCACAUUGACUGUAGAAGAAUCCCGUAAAUAUUGCGUCUUAUUUCAUUUAUUCUACUGCACACACAUCGUCAAUUUUACAACAUUUUUAACAUAUUUGUGUUUAGAAAUUAGUCUUCAAAUUGGGUAAAAACACAAAUACCUAAUAUAAAUAAAUAAAAUUAAUAUAUAUUCGGUUCAGUUCACUGAAACCGAAAUGGGUACAAAAAAUAAAUACCUAACAUAAAUAAAAUUAAGGGAGUUUUAACGAAAAGUCCACGGUACUGUUCACUUUAACGAAAAACCACAUUUUUACACUAAAAAGUCAAACCGGAUACUAUUCACUUUACCCUUUAUUUUGUCCUUAUCAUUAAAACUCAAAGUUUUCAAACCCUUUUCAUUAGUUUUCCUUAAAAUUAAUAUAUGUUCGGUUCGGUUCGGUUCUCUUUUUUAAUUUGGUUCAAUUUUUUUUUUGUUUGGUUUUUUCAAUUUCGAUUCGGUGUUUAGUUCGGUUUUUUUCGUUUGUCGGUUUUUUUAACGCACCCUUAGUUCACGACCUUAUUCUAUUUUAAGGGUGGUGCACAGGUUGGUUCAAUUGCUGUUGGUGGGCAUCAUGGGUUUAUGAACAAACAUGACAAGGUUGCAUUGGACAUGGCACAUGUUUGUGGGUUUUGCAUUGAUUGAAUUGUAUUUUAAAUGCAGACAGAUGAGCGAGAGUUUGGUGAUCAACGCUCCAAUUAGGACAAAGUCUGAGGACCAAUUUUUUUUUUUUUUUUUUUUAAAAUAAUAAUAAUAUGUCACUUAUGCGAUAUGUUAACAUUAAAAUCUUAUCAUAAUAAUUUAUAUGUAACGAGUUAAUAAUCACGUGACGUUUUUGUCACAGCCCGUCCCGGAGGUACUGUUGACGGGAAUGUGAAAUGACGAAAAUGCCCUUGACGUUACUAAGGUGCGUUGGUGAAAUGUUUUAGAUAUUUAUAUUUUCCUAACCUAUUGGAAAUGUUAUCUAAGUUGGAUAAAAUAUUAAAAGGUUGAUUUUGUUGUUUUGGCUAAGGAUUGAAAAAUGGAUGGUGUGGAUCAAUUGGGACCACACAGGACCCUCCUUCCCUUUCCUUUCCCCGUGCAUUCCCUGUCUGUCUCUCCUUCACGAUCUCACACCCACGCAUACACCCAAAUACGUACGGCACACCCCAAACCCUCCAAAAACUCGACGGAUCGAGGCAAAUAAGGGAAUUUCAAGCUUGUAGUGGGCUUUAUGAGGUCCUAAGGAAGCUCGGGGACGUUCGUUGGACAGUUUUGGACGUCGGGAUCGUGGGUUUCAAAGUUGGCCGAAUUCUUGGAUUUUUCUCGGUGAGAUUUCUUGAUUUUUAGACCCUAAAACUAGUCCAACGUGAUAGUACACUCUUAGGGCUUCAAAUUGAUAUAAAAUACGAAGAAAAUGGGUGAAAAACGAAGGAGAACAAGAGGUUUAAAGUUUGGCCGGAAUUGGGUCGCCGGAAAAACCAGUCCGGCGAACCCUGGGGAAGACGAUGACACGUGCCGCGCGUGGCUGCGCGUGGCCUACGCGUAGAGCCGAGCUCUAGUCGGCGCGUGAGGGCGCGUGGGGAGUCCAAAAUUGUUUCUAAAAAUUUCCCGACGCUCUUGACGUCGAGUAAGUCGAUGUGGUAUAUUCAUAAACCCAAAUUGAGCAUCGUAUGAGAAUUUUUUUUGGAAUUUUGGUGAUGUGUUUAAAAUUAACGUUUUUAUAGUUGUUUCGCAUAUAGGUGAGACGUAUCCCGAGGACGACCGCAUCCAGGGACGCCACGGGGGUUACGACCCGUCGACAUAUCAGUGAGUGGGCAGUUUUGAUUUCGUAUUUACCUAUAUACAUCUAUUUUCCCAGAAAAUACGCGUUUUAUAAAUUUAAUUUGCCAUGCAUGAAAAUAUUGAAAUACUGGAAUUGAUAAUUGAUAUAUGCGCGUGAAAUGAUGCGGUGGACGCUCAGGUGAGUUUAUUUAUUUCCAGCUGAGUUAUUUAUAUGAAUUGCAUUGAAAGCUCAUAACCUGCACCUAGGUGAUAGUGAUUAUAUUGUUAUUCACCACACCGCACGCUCGUCUUGGAUCCAAGUAUGUGGAUGUCGUACAGACCAUGUGAGGGUUCCGACAUGCCAGUCGUACAGACCAUUAGAGGGGUUCCGACUGGUGGGUGACCUUAGAUAUGCGCGCUGAUGAUUGAUGUGAGAAGCACUAGAGCGUAUUUAUACACCUGUCACCGUACAGACUACCUUAUGUAGUUCCGAGUGACGUGCAGAGUUAAACCGUACAGGUCACCGAGGUGACUCCGGUUGGAUGAGAUGUUGAGCUUUAGAAUCAGCCGUACAGGACCAUCGUAGGGUCUCCGGUUGACUUAGUAUUCACCUGAUUGAUAUUGAUUUACAUUCUGAUUAUAUUUUGGGCAUGGCAUACCGUUUCUGUGAUAUUAUGAUGAUGAAAUGUGCUGAGUUAUGAGGUUGAGUAUAUUUAUAUGUUUAUAUACUAUUUUCUGGGAAAGUAUACAGGUUUUUACGGCGAGGGGAUAUAAUUGUUUUAAUGAACUGUUUUGGAAAACUAAUUUGUUUUACUGACCCACUCAUUUUGUUUUGCGCCCCUCCAGGUUCUAGUUUAGCGGUGGUUGGCUCACGAGGUCCUUUUCCGGCUUUCUGACAGACCUUGGACAUGUAGGACUCACCUGAGGGUGAUGUAUUCUUAUUUUAGUCCUACUUGACUGCAGUUACCUAUGCUCUGAACUUAUGUGUUUGUAGUAUAACUUGUCCGGUUAUGUUCGUAGGUGGAUAUGUUUAAGUUGGUUUGAAUUUCAGCUGAUUUAU
This 8528-nucleotide long non-coding RNA is filed under the name Malus domestica (apple). RNAcentral describes it as "long non-coding RNA (MDOM_LNC017150)". The record is from RNAcentral. Lineage: Eukaryota; Viridiplantae; Streptophyta; Magnoliopsida; Rosales; Rosaceae.